This 353-nucleotide unclassified non-coding RNA is filed under the name Hevea brasiliensis (rubber tree). Lineage: Eukaryota; Viridiplantae; Streptophyta; Magnoliopsida; Malpighiales; Euphorbiaceae. The record is from RNAcentral.
UUUCGAAUUCCAUUCUCUCCUUCAAGCCAUGAUUCAUGAUAAUAUUUGGGAACCAAAUAAUGUGCCAUACAAUGUAGAGAUGUGUUACUUUUGUUCCACCUGAUACGUAGAACAUCCUAGCGGCUAAUUUGUCGGUCGUAUUCCUCUCAUAAAUGCUGAAUGAUUUUCCGAUAGCUCCACUACUCGAACUCUUUCGGUUUUUUUUGUUGAAUUAGAUCAGUCCCCUCCGAAAGUGAUAUAUAAUCAUCUUUUUUUCUUGCAUCAACUUGAACAUUGGUUCGUUUUCUUUCCGCUUGUUCAUGAUCCACCGGAGUUGGAGCCACGCUUAAAGUUUUGGGAUUGAGGCGGUGGUG